Regulatory RNA element from Rhodobacter sp. CACIA14H1, 50 nucleotides. It matches the Rfam family "terC RNA". NCBI's taxonomy places the organism in Bacteria, Pseudomonadati, Pseudomonadota, Alphaproteobacteria, Rhodobacterales. The record is from Rfam.
GCGGCGGGCCGGGCCCCUCUGACGCGAAAGCGCCAUGUCGGACCGCAUCG